Molecule: ribosomal RNA, 1171 nt
Filed under: Streptomyces sp. I08A-00324
Lineage: Bacteria; Bacillati; Actinomycetota; Actinomycetes; Kitasatosporales; Streptomycetaceae
Description: bacterial SSU rRNA
Rfam family: Bacterial small subunit ribosomal RNA
Source: RNAcentral
UGCCCAUGGCGGCGGUCUUACCAUGCAGUCGAACGAUGAAGCCCUUCGGGGUGGAUUAGUGGCGAACGGGUGAGUAACACGUGGGCAAUCUGCCCUUCACUCUGGGACAAGCCCUGGAAACGGGGUCUAAUACCGGAUGAUACUUCCACUCGCAUGGGUGGGGGUUGAAAGCUCCGGCGGUGAGGGAUGAGCCCGCGGCCUAUCAGCUUGUUGGUGAGGUAGAAGCUCACCAAGGCGACGACGGGUAGCCGGCCUGAGAGGGCGACCGGCCACACUGGGACUGAGACACGGCCCAAACUCCUACGGGAGGCAGCAGUGGGGAAUAUUGCACAAUGGGCGAAAGCCUGAUGCAGCGACGCCGCGUGAGGGAUGACGGCCUUCGGGUUGUAAACCUCUUUCAGCAGGGAAGAAGCGAAAGUGACGGUACCUGCAGAAAAAGCGCCGGCUAACUACGUGCCAGCAGCCGCGGUAAUACGUAGGGCGCAAGCGUUGUCCGGAAUUAUUGGGCGUAAAGAGCUCGUAGGCGGUCUGUCGCGUCGGAUGUGAAAGCCCGGGGCUUAACCCCGGGUCUGCAUUCGAUACGGGCAGACUAGAGUGUGGUAGGGGAGAUCGGAAUUCCUGGUGUAGCGGUGAAAUGCGCAGAUAUCAGGAGGAACACCGGUGGCGAAGGCGGAUCUCUGGGCCAUUACUGACGCUGAGGAGCGAAAGCGUGGGGAGCGAACAGGAUUAGAUACCCUGGUAGUCCACGCCGUAAACGGUGGGAACUAGGUGUUGGCGACAUUCCACGUCGUCGGUGCCGCAGCUAACGCAUUAAGUUCCCCGCCUGGGGAGUACGGCCGCAAGGCUAAAACUCAAAGGAAUUGACGGGGGCCCGCACAAGCAGCGGAGCAUGUGGCUUAAUUCGACGCAACGCGAAGAACCUUACCAAGGCUUGACAUCGCCCGGAAAGCAUCAGAGAUGGUGCCCCCUUGUGUCGGGUGACAGUGUGCAUGCUGUCGUCAGCUCGUGUCGUGAGAUGUUGGUUAAGUCCCGCACGAGCGCAACCCUUGUCUGUGUGCAGCACGCCUUCGGGUGUGGGACUCACAGAACUGCGGUCACUCGGAGAGUGGGACGACGUCAGUCAUCAUGCCUUAUUCUGGGCUGCACACCGUGCUUACAUGGCAGGUCCAUG